AGGAGCUUCAGUGCAGAAGUUGGAACCAGUCAAAGAUAGAGGCACGUAAGGUGCCACAGAUGAACGUUUUUAGCCACUGAAUUACUGGAAUGAGUCCAGAAGCAGGUGUUUGAUCUUUAGGCUGCUUGUAAAGCUGAAACUACCAAAAUGACCUGCCUAAUCAACAGGGAACACUAAGGACAGGAGCCUCUGAAGAAGCCCUUGCUGGCACGAAGGCAGGGGCUGCAGGACACCGACCCGUCCCUCCUCGCUCCUCACCUUCUGUCAGAGCACGCAGCCCUCUGUCUCCGCAGUACGUGACUUUCUUCUGCUGGAAAUGUGCUGGGAUUCCAGGAGAGCAUAAUCGAGCAAAAGUUCAUCCGUUGCAAGAGCUGCUAAAGGUAGGACGUUUUCAAGCUCUAUUUGUCUAUUAUCCCCCAAAGCUGCCAUUCUCCCUUGCUGUGUGCAGAGCUGUGAUAGCUGGUGGGUUCUGCACAGGCACAGGAGGUGGAGGCAGUACUGUUGGCACUGUGGCUACAGGCCUUGUGGAAAAAAUGUCCUGUUCCUGUAAUGUGCUUCCACGUUUCUGUGCACGCAGUGAACGCAGCGGGCUGAGUUUUAUCUCUAGUUUAAGUCUGCUGACGUGCAGUAAGCAAUCUGUGGUGUUCAGAAGGAGCCAUGUUUUGUCUUGUUUGUCCGCUCCGGCUUUGGAACAGAGUUGGUAUGGUUUGGGUACACUCAGGAGACUGUGGCUUUCCUAUGGACGUAUGCGCAGCGGUUGAACUACAAGUUGUGGAGGCACUGAGGCACUUACCAGGCAACAGCAUUAGAGCCGUAUGGAAAGGAGGAGGGAAAAAGAGGAAGAAAACAUCUCUAUGUGUGGAUGAGGGGGUUUCUCGUAGUUGGCUUUUCAGCCACCAUGGAAUGGCAGGGGAAAAAAACCAGCCUAAACCAGGUCCUUUCUUCCGUUCUCCCAGUCCUUUGGCCAACACCUGCCCAAACUUCGGCUUUGUUUGGUAUUAUUCCUUGUUGUGCACCGUUCCUAUAGGGCUGGGUUUAAGGAGAUUUCCAUAGGGUAGCAUUAGUGCCAUCAGUGGGAACACUGCAACUUCCCGCACGGCCCAUAGUGCGCGCUGUUCCCGGUGCACAAAGGUAAAAAAAUAAAAGCACUGCAGCCUCUCUGUGAGCUGCAAUGCCAGUGGCUCAUUUUCAAGAGUCUGUCUUGGAUCAAUCAUGGGCUGACAUGGUGGCUGCUACCAGCACGGCUGCCCUAUGGGACGGCUGCUGGUGGGGCACGGAGCAGGCGCGUCUGUGCUGUUUGCAGGCGCGGUGGGCAUCUUUUCGCGGUAUCACACACAAGCAGCAGGCAGUGCAUGUGCCGUGAGCUCUGCCAGCCCCUGCCAGGGCGUGCUGUGAGGCCACCUGUGGCGUGAGCGUGUUAUUGCUGCCCGACGGCACCCACACGUGGUGCUGCUGUGGCCGUGCGUGGUUUUCCUGCCACCUCGACGAGUGGUUUUCCUGCUGGGCAAACUUUCCAACGUGGAUAGAAACGAUAGAAAUGUAUGUUUGCACAUCGAAAUCGGCAAUUUAUUUGACAAACAGGCACGGAGGUGUCCAGUUAUCCCUUUUGCUUAUGCAAAUACGAGUUUUCCCAGGCACGACAGCUGUGCCAGCACAGUGAUUAUUUCCAUAAGGUUAUCAGAUUGUUAUCAGGAGGGGACGUGCCUUGUAAUAAUGCUCGGGAGCAGUUCUGGGGCAUGGCUGGUGCCGACGUGGGAAGCGUACGGACAGGCUCACAGCAGUUAGGCUCACAGCUGGAGCGGUGCAGAAGGUUGAGCACAGCACCUGGCGCCGGGGCUGGGGGAGGGGUUGCGACCGGCGGCCUCUCUGCGUCUGGAGCGAUUGAGGCCGGGAUGUGCACGAAGCCUUCCCGCCCUGCCCCUUUGAGCAGCGGAGCUCUGCCUGGCCCUGGCGAUACGGGAGACCCUUAAGGCACGGGUUGAAGCUCCAGGGCCUGGCAGGGGCCCGGCCGUGCGGCAGCACUUUGUGCCUCACCUGGGGUGGGUUGGUGGAAGCUGCGCUCCUACCAGGGCCCAAAGCACGGGCAGCUCUCGUGGGCGUUGCAGACCCUCACUGCGGCACCCCGCUGCAAAUUCAUUGCAAAAUGUUUGAGACCGCCGCCGCAAUCCCAUUCCAGACCCCACUGCGCACCCCUCGCCGACCCCGUUGCGAGUCCAUCGCAAAACAGCGCAAACGGAGUUGCGCAGCACUGCGGCCCCCUUUGCAGGGCCACGGCUGCGCAGCACGGCAGGCCCCUUUGUAGGACUCUACCGCGCGACGCUGCGCACGCCAUUGCAGGACCCCACUGCAGGACCUCUCGUAGGACCUCCAACGCACAGC
RNAcentral lists this long non-coding RNA (2379 nucleotides) under Gallus gallus (chicken). RNAcentral describes it as "lncRNA (ENSGALG00010024067.1)". Lineage: Eukaryota; Metazoa; Chordata; Aves; Galliformes; Phasianidae. The record is from RNAcentral.